RNAcentral lists this ribosomal RNA (364 nucleotides) under uncultured Gammaproteobacteria bacterium. Its description in RNAcentral is "bacterial SSU rRNA". It matches the Rfam family "Bacterial small subunit ribosomal RNA", at positions 116 to 488 of the family's 1533-position model. Lineage: Bacteria; Pseudomonadati; Pseudomonadota; Gammaproteobacteria. The record is from RNAcentral.
CUUGGAUAUGCCUAUGUGGGACACAGUUGGAACGACUGCUAAUACCGCAUAACGUCUACGGACCAAAGGGGGAUCUUCGACCUCUCGCCAUUGAUUAGCCCAAGUGAGAUUAGCUAGUUGGUGAGGUAAAGACUCACCAAGGCGACGAUCUCUAGCUGGUUUGAGAGGAUGAUCAGCCACACUGGGACUGAGACACGGCCCAGACUCCUACGGGAGGCAGCAGUGGGGAAUAUUGCACAAUGGGGGAAACCCUGAUGCAGCCAUGCCGCGUGUGUGAAGAAGGCCUUCGGGUUGUAAAGCACUUUCAGUUGUGAGGAAAGGGUAUUGGUUAAUAGCCACUAUCUGUGACGUUAACAACAGAAGA